Molecule: long non-coding RNA, 910 nt
Filed under: Bemisia tabaci
Lineage: Eukaryota; Metazoa; Arthropoda; Insecta; Hemiptera; Aleyrodidae
Description: lncRNA ENSSSA1UGG006973
Source: RNAcentral
UGUUGAUGCACAUUUUACAUUAAUUUUUCUUUGAAAAGAGCGUAAAAGAAGAACUCGACUUUUGUAACAACUUUCUUCAAUAUUUUUAAAUUAUAAUUUUCAAGUGAGGUAGAUCUCAUUGCAGGGGACGUCCAAAGGUUUCGCGGGUCCAAUGACCUUUGCCUUCUGCCCUUCCCCUCCACCCUUUCGCUCAUACGCGUGGAAUUCCGUCAAACUUCGGCAACUUCCGCCCUUGGAUUCGGAGAUUAUUAGCAAUCGGCCAUUUCCGGUGAGCAUCCUUCGUACUUCGUGUAUUUCCGUCCGUGCAUCAAACGUGGUUGUUUUGGAAGAGUCUAGCUGUCCAAUUUUUGCAGAUUUUUGUGCUUUCUUGUAGUUUUGUGUACUAUUAAUCAUGGCUGAAGAUGAUUCGAUCUUUGACCCCUCUGCGAUGAAGAAGAAAAAGAAGAAGAAGAAGACCGGGUUUGACAUCGAUGCAGCUUUGGGAGAUGGCGGAAAUGAAGCUUCGGAGACAACAGAAUCCUCACAGACGGGUGGCGACAAAGAAAAUCAGGAACCAUCAAAAUUUGAUGAUUUUGAUGGCGAUCUAGACUUGGACAGUAAGAAAAAGAAGAAGAAGAAAAAGACGCUGAACCUGGACGAAUUGGAGAGCGCUUUGCCUGAUGCUGGGAGCGGUGGAGGUGGAGCACCAGGUGAUGGAGAGGGUGGCGAUGAUUUUGAUGAUACGUUUGAUUUAGACAUGGAUUUCUCAAAAGCGAAAAAGAAGAAGAAAAAGCAGAAGGCCAACCUAGAGGAAUUAGUCGCGGAAGAUGACAGUAAAAAAACAGAGGACAAAGAUACUGGUACUAAAAUUAUUCAUUUUAUUUUAUUUUCCUAUCGGUUCUGGUUUAAUUCUGUAUACAAAGCCAAGUAG